GAACUGAGAAAGGUUUUCGGGAUUAGCAUCACGUCGCCGUGUAGCUGCCUUCUGUACCCUCCAUUGUAACACGUGUGUAGCCCCGGACGUAAGGGCCGUGCUGAUUUGACGUCAUCCCCACCUUCCUCGCAUCUUACGAUGGCAGUCUCACCAGAGUCCUCAGCAUAACCUGUUAGUAACUGGCGACAAGGGUUGCGCUCGUUAUGGCACUUAAGCCGACACCUCACGGCACGAGCUGACGACAACCAUGCAGCACCUUCACAACUGCUAUUGCUAGCUAAACGAUCUCUCGCUUAUUCAGUUGCAAUUUAAGCCCGGGUAAGGUUCCUCGCGUAUCAUCGAAUUAAACCACAUGUUCCUCCGCUUGUGCGGGCCCCCGUCAAUUCCUUUGAGUUUCACCGUUGCCGGCGUACUCCCCAGGUGGGAUACUUAAUGCUUUCGCUUGGCCGCAGACUGUGUAUCGCCUACAGCGAGUAUCCAUAG
This 483-nucleotide ribosomal RNA is filed under the name uncultured bacterium. RNAcentral's name for it is "partial 16S ribosomal RNA". The record is from RNAcentral.